AUAUUGGACAAUGGGGUCAACCCUGAUCCAGCCAUGCCACGUGAGUGACGAAGGGCUUAGGGUUGUAAAGCACUUUCAGUGGGGAAGAUAAUGACCGUACCCACACAAGAAGACCCGGCUAAACUCGUGCCUGCAGCCGAGGUAAUACGGAGGGGCGAGCGUUGUUCGGAUUUACUGGGCGUACAGCGCACGUAGGCGGAUUGGACAGUUAAGGGUGAAAUCCCGGGGCUCAACUCCGGAACUGCCUUUAAUACUGCCAGUCUAGAGUCCGAGAGAGGUGAGUGGAACUCCUAGUGUAGAGGUGGAAUUCGUAGAUAUUAGGAAGAACACCAGUGGCGAAGGCGGCUCACUGGCUCGGUACUGACGCUGAGGUGCGAAAGCGUGGGGGGCAAAC
RNAcentral lists this ribosomal RNA (394 nucleotides) under uncultured bacterium. Its description in RNAcentral is "partial 16S ribosomal RNA". It matches the Rfam family "Bacterial small subunit ribosomal RNA", at positions 361 to 773 of the family's 1533-position model. The record is from RNAcentral.